GACGAACGCUGGCGGCGUGCUUAACACAUGCAAGUCGAGCGAUGAAGCUUCCUUCGGGAAGUGGAUUAGCGGCGGACGGGUGAGUAACACGUGGGCAACCUGCCUCAAAGUGGGGGAUAGCCCUCCGAAAGGAGGAGUAAUACCGCAUAACAUGGUUGAAUCGCAUGAUUCGAUCAUCAAAGGAGUAAUCCGCUUUGAGAUGGGCCCGCGGCGCAUUAGCUAGUUGGUGAGGUAGAGGCUCACCAAGGCGACGAUGCGUAGCCGACCUGAGAGGGUGAUCGGCCACAUUGGGACUGAGACACGGCCCAGACUCCUACGGGAGGCAGCAGUGGGGAAUAUUGCGCAAUGGGCGAAAGCCUGACGCAGCAACGCCGCGUGGGUGAUGACGGUUUUCGGAUUGUAAAGCCCUGUCUUCGAGGACGAUAAUGACGGUACUCGAGGAGGAAGCCACGGCUAACUACGUGCCAGCCGCCGCCGUAACAC
Molecule: ribosomal RNA, 483 nt
Filed under: uncultured bacterium
Lineage: Bacteria
Description: bacterial SSU rRNA
Rfam family: Bacterial small subunit ribosomal RNA
Source: RNAcentral